Molecule: long non-coding RNA, 716 nt
Filed under: Ananas comosus (pineapple)
Lineage: Eukaryota; Viridiplantae; Streptophyta; Magnoliopsida; Poales; Bromeliaceae
Description: long non-coding RNA (ACOM_LNC039325)
Source: RNAcentral
CCUUCUCUAUUUUUACAAACACAUAACUCAUAUCCUACAUUAUGAAAAACAUCAUGAAAUCAAUUUUAUCCAAAAAAAAUGACACAAAGACAAAAAAAAUAGGAAAAGACAUACACAAGGCAACAUGAACAUACAUGUUCCUUAUUAAAAUGUUCGAUUGCCAAUUUAGUACAUCUGGUAAGAAUUUCAUCAUCAAAAUCCGUGAUCGCUGUAAGGCCAAACUCACAGGUGCCUGGAAAUGGAUCAACAUCGAAUCCCUGUAAAAGACAUGUAUUAACAAUUAGUGAAAAAAAAAAGUUGUGAAGCUUUAACUCUCAAAAAGAAGAUAAUAAUUAUUAAACACCUCGCUUUCCUUGAUUUGUUUGUAAUAUCUAGCCCAUUCUUCGUGAGUCCUACUGCGAUUACCAUUCGGCCAAACAUAAACCUCAUCUUCCUCUGAAGUAUGCUCAUAAACCCUUUGAUCCUUCUCGUUCCCUUUCUCUUCCUCUAUUUCACUUUGGAUUUCUUCCUCCUAGCCCUCUUCCCUCAUCUCUUCGCUUUCUUCCUGCAGUUUCAACUUCUCCUGCAUCGACUCUUCAGGUAUCAGUUUCUUAGCAUUUUGCUGUAUCACAAAAUGAAAUACAUCUAUACAUAAAAAAUUUAAACAAAUUUCAAUCAAAACUAACGACAAUUUAAAAAAAAAAAUUUCUUAAAUUGGCUAAAAUAAAAGAAGAAUU